Molecule: long non-coding RNA, 785 nt
Filed under: Equus caballus (horse)
Lineage: Eukaryota; Metazoa; Chordata; Mammalia; Perissodactyla; Equidae
Description: lncRNA (ENSECAG00000040422.3)
Source: RNAcentral
AGAUCUCUCAAGUGUUUAAAUUAAGGAUCGCAAGUUCUUGAAACUUGACAAGCCAGGCAGGAUUGUCACUGCUGCUGUCUGAAGCAGAGGGAAAAAAUAUUUGCCUCUCUCUGUCACCUGGCUGAAGAAUAAAAAAAAAAAGAGGAAAAAAGUUACUGUGUGCAGUUAAUAUCGAACAGCAGCCAUCUCCAGAUGAUCCCUGCUGCAUCCAAUUUCUGCCAAAAUGCUUUCUGUUAAACCUCCAUCAAACAGACACACGGCGCACAAAAGAAAACCUCAUCACCAAGGGAAACUAAUCCACCGGUGCGCAAUGUAAGCCUGUCAACUUUUUAUUAUAAGAAGUCAUCACUCAUUUCAGUGAAGAUUAAAAGUAUGACUAAAUUGAGAAAAUCCUCUUAGCCAUUUGGAAUUUUAAUAGAGGAGAAAAGGGGGAUGGAGUUAAAUAGGUAACCGGUCUCAAAGAGGGAAAGGGAAAAAACCAGGAAUAGCUUCUGCUGAAUAUUUUAGCUGAUGUUAUCUCAUUCAUGUGGCAGACCAGUAACAGGAAAAUAAAUGACUCUCAUCCUUUUGCUUUGUUCUCAAUGAAGAAGGAGAGCAUUUGAACAGGGAAAUGAAUUCGGCCAACAACCAAUGGGCUUGGAGGAUGCCUCCAGCUUCAAGUGAGACCUACAGCCUGGCCAACACCCUGAGAUCAGCCUGAUAAAGUCCUGAGCAGAAAAUCCAGCCAUACCUGGAGUUUUGAUGAAAAAACAGUGAGAUAAUAAAUUUGUGCUGUUUUAUGCCAC